This is a long non-coding RNA of Oncorhynchus tshawytscha (Chinook salmon), 6763 nucleotides long. NCBI's taxonomy places the organism in Eukaryota, Metazoa, Chordata, Actinopteri, Salmoniformes, Salmonidae. The record is from Ensembl.
GUCAGAUCCUGGUCUCUCUCGUCUCCCUCCUUUCUCUUGCCUGGGGAGGGGUGUGUGAGACAGGGUGGUAAUGUUGCCCACCCUAAAAAAAAUGAGGUCAGCUCUACACGAGGGUAGGGGUGUCUCGACGCGCCCAUUCCACACCAGCCUCCCUUCUUCAGACCCCUCAAUCAGUUCUGGACAGUUCCUGGAAGCUUGCUCAACUCUACUCCUUCACUGGCUAUUCCAUCCUUCAUUUUUCCAAGUCAGAUCUUCGCCCCUUUUUUCCCUCUUCUGAGUGGGGUUGUUCCUGUGCUGUGUACCAUUCCUACAAUUGGCUGAAUUUCUGCCAUUUGGCCAUUAUUUUUCCUUCUGUUUUCUUUUGGCCUGAGAUUUCUUCAUCUCCUUUUGUUUUAUCUUUCCCUUUUUCUCCAUUGGUUGUUUUGUGGCUCGUCUCUCUUUUCAUCUCGUUGGCUGUGUUUUCGCUCUUGUCGUCUGUUACCCACACCAUGGCCCGUCCUCUGGCUCUGGAGCCGAUAAGAGGGCAUUUGGGUGUUAAGAGUUCCCUAAAUGGGAGUGCAGACUUUGACAGACUUAGUUUUAUGGGGGAACAGCAUCCUCCACCUCCCCUCCACAGUUACCUGUGGCUAACAAUCCUCACCUGCUUCUGCCCCGCGUACCCAGUCAACAUUGUAGCUCUGGUCUUUUCAGUACUGUCCAGGAAAAGUUAUGAGUUGCAAGACUAUGACGGCUCGCGACGACUCGGUCAGAAAGCUCUCCAAGUGGCCAUCGCCUCCAUCAUCAUCGGCCUCCUCAUCAUCGCCAUAUUUAUCAUCGUUCACUUCACCACGUAUAAAUUGUAGAAGAGUUGCGCAGUAUGCCUGGAAAAAGCCAAACAAAGUAAAUGUCGCUCUCAAAGACAUGGACUAUGGACACCUCUCUGAAUGGACUAUGACAAGGGUUCUGGGGCCCCGGAUUUGGCAGUAAUCUCCAUCCUCAAGAACGGAACUCCACUCCAGAUGUGGUAUCCAUCUUUUGUCGCCGUCACACAUCCUCCACACCCAGCCUUUCUACUCUUCUAUCUGGGAGAAGAACUUAAGAAGCAAGACUCUGCUUUUGAAAGACUGUAUGGAACACUGACCUCUGGAUCACAUGAUACCCACAGCACAAACCUCGCGCACGCAUGCACGCACACAGACACACACACAGUUUUGUAUUGCUAUCUUUGUGGGGACCAAAGAAUUGAUUCCCAUCCAAAAUCCUAUUUUCCCUCACUUCUAAAUAUAAUUCUAACCUUAACCUUAAGCCUAACCUUAACCCCAAACCCUAAAACUAUACCUAACCCUAAUUGUAACACUAACCCUAAUUGCAACCCUAACGCUAAACCUAAACCCUAAGCCUACAAUAGCAUUUUUCCUCGUGGGGACCAGCAAAAUGUCCCCACUUGUCUGAAUUUUCCUUGUUUUACUAUCCUUGUGAGGACUUCUGGUAAAUAAACACACAUACACACACAUUAGAAGAGGAAGAAACACCUGCCCAUUCCUGUGUGCAUUUAUUGAUAAUGUGGGCUGUUGGACGAGUGAACAAUUACUUUUUGCAGCGGUAACUGUGUGGUCACUGUAGCACUAACAUGCUGACAAUUACUGUAUUUAUGGUGCUUUCAAGACAACCGGGAACUCUGGAAAAAUUAGGUCAAAUCAUGAUAUCAGGGAUUUUCAGGUCGGAUAGUCAGAGUUCUAGAAGGAUCCCCGAGUGUCCGAAUUGGAAUUCCGAGUUGGAUGACCAUUCAAAACUAUUUUCCCAGUCGGAGCUAUUUUUUUCCAGCUGUCUUGAAUGCACUGAACUGAAGUUGGAAGUAGGAGAUUUCCAAGUACCCAGUUGUUCUGAACGUGGCAUUAUUGUGCCACUUGGGAUGUUUGAUGUGUCAAUCACGUAACUGUCGAGUGUUUACUGUCAUAAAUGUCUUUUGCUUUUUUACUUGAUAUUACACCUGCCAAAUAUGUACAGUGCAUUCUGAAAGUAUUCAGACCCCUUCCCUUUAUCCACAUUUUGUUAUGUUAAAGCCUUAUUAUAAAAUGUCCUCCUCAAUCUACACACAAUACCCCACUAUGACAAUAUGAAAACAGGUUUUAUUUUUGCAAAUGUAUUACAAACAAAAAUCAGACCUUAUUUACAUAAGUAUUCAGACCCUUUGCUAAGAGAUUCAAAAUUGAGCUCAGGUGCAUCCUGUUUCCAUUUAUCAUCCUUGAGAUGUUUUACAACUUGAUUGGAGUCCACCUGUGGUAAAUUCUACUGAUUGGACAUGAUUUGGAAAGGCACACACACUCCCAUAGUUGACAGUACAUUUGAGAGCAAAGACCUGUCUAUAUGAGGUCUCACAGUUGACAGUGCAUGUCAGAGCAAAACCAAGCCAUGAUGUUGAAGGAAUUCUCUGUAGAGGUCCGAGACAGGAUUAUGUUGAGUUACACAUUUAGGGAAGGGUACUAAAAGACGUCUGCAGCAUUGAAGGUCCCCAAGAACACAGUGGCCUCCAUCAUUCUUAAAUGGAAGAAGUUUGUUACCACCAGGACUCUUUCUAGAGCUGGCUACCUGGCCAAACUGAGCAAUCUGGGGAGAAGCGCAUUGGUCAGGGAGGUGACCAAGAAUCUGAUGGUUACGCUGACAGACCUGAGUUCCUUUGCGGAGAUGGGAGAACCUUCCAGAAGGACAACCAUCUCUGCAGCACUUCACCAAUCAGGCCUUUAAGGUAAAGUGGCCAGACGGAAGCCACUCCUUAGUAAAAGGCACAUGACAGCCUGCUUGGAGUUUGCCAAAAGGCACCUAAAUGACUCAGACCAUGAGAAACAAGAUUCUCUGGUCUGAAGGAACCAAGAUUGAAAUAUUUAUCCUGAAUGCCAACCGUUACAUCUGGAGGAAACCUGGCACCAUCUCUAUGGUAAUACAUAGUGGUGGCACCAUCUCUAUGGUAAUACAUAGUGGUGGCACCAUCUCUAUGGUAAUACAUAGUGGUGGCACCAUCUCUAUGGUAAUACAUAGUGGUGGCACCAUCUCUAUGAUAAUACAUAGUGGUGGCACCAUCUCUAUGGUAAUACAUAGUGGUGGCACCAUCUCUAUGGUAAUACAUAGUGGUGGCACCAUCUCUAUGGUAAUACAUAGUGGUGGCACCAUCUCUAUGGUAAUACAUAGUGGUGGCACCAUCUCUAUGGUAAUACAUAGUGGUGGCACCAUCUCUAUGGUAAUACAUAGUGGUGGCAGCAUCAUGCUGUGGGGGUGUUUUUCAGCGGCAGGGAGAGGGAAACUAAUCAGGAUCGAAAGAUGAAUGGAGCAAAGUACAAAGAGAUCCUUGAUGAAAACCUGCUUCAGAGUGCUCAGGACCUCAGACUGGGAGCAGACGGUUCACCUUCCAACAGGACAACGACCCUAAGCACACAGCCAAGACAAUGCAGGAGUGGCUUUGGGACAAGUCUCUGAAUAUCCUUAAGUGGCCCAGCCAGAGCCCGGACUUGAACCCGAUCAAACAUCUCUGGAGAGACCUGAAAAUAGCUGUGCAGCGACCUUACCCAUCCAACCUGACAGAGCUGGAGAGGAUCUCCAGAGAAGAAUGGGAGAAACUCCCCAAAUACAGGUGUGCCAAGCUUGUAGCGUCAUAUCCAAGAAGACUUGAGGCUGUAAUCGCUGACAAAGGUGCUUUAACAGAGUACUGAGUAAAUAAUACUCAUGUAAAUGUGAUGUCAGUUGUUUAUUUUUUACAAAUUUAAAAGCAAAAACCUGUUUUUGCUUUGUCAUUAGAGUACUGUGUGUAGAUUGAUGAGGGAAAAAAAGAUUGAAUCAAUUUUAGACUAAGUCUGUAACGUAAUAAAAUGUGUAAAAAGUCAAGGGGUCUGAAUAUUUUCCCAAUGCACUGUAUGUGUAGGACUGUUUUCUUCUCAUGUAAAAAAAAAACUAAACAGAAUGCAAAUACAGGAAUAACAACUUUAUACCGACAGAAUGUAACAUUAGAAUAGCUACAUAAUAAAGAUGAAUUAGUAACAAAUGUCUUUAAAAAAACUAAGAUUUGGGUUUAUGUUCAUGUUUGCCAUUGACAGGGCAUAUGAAGGGUUUAGGAGUUGUUCUGAGAGGUGUUUAGUUUUGGUCACAGAUAGCUCAGGUUGAACACAGAUGGUCUUAAUUACUGCCCACAACCUGCUCUGGCCCUCAUUCACCCAUCUCCCAUUCCCCCUGGCUCUCCCCUAGUCCCCUGCAAUCUGCCGAGUCGGAAGGAUCCUGUAGUUUGAUAUGUAACAGUAUCACCCAUCACUGGCUAAAUAUAGGGACAGAUGUCCCCCUGUGUGCUGGUGUUGGGCUGCAUGACACGCUAGCCUGCUGUGUUCUGCCAAGUGUAGCUCACAUGGACAAGAGCUGACUCAGCUACUACCUGUUGAGUCCCACUAUCACACUGGCUCGUUUUGGACUAACCCCUUUUAAACAUUGUGUGUUUGAGCUACAGUCUUCCAGUUGUACCAUUGGAUUUGUCUAUUCUUCUGUAUCCGCUGAUACCAACCAUUAGUAUGUGUGAUUAACAGGGGCUGAGUUAGAGCAGUGAUUGUGAGACAAGCGCAGAAGGGGUCUGAGGCGGGGUCAAGGGGCGGUUCUUCUCAUAAAAAAACGUCUGUAGAGUCCGAAUGGUGAACUACAAACUAUUAUGAACCAUCUAUGAAGAGCUGAGACUCUGACGUUUUGCUCUAUGGCGCUCACAAGCUACACAACAGUCCUUAGAAGGACACCUUCGGCCUGGACUGGCAGUCUUUCGUGUCCGACCAGAGGGAGGAGACCAAUACGGGCCAUUCAUCUGAACCAUGUGCAACCUUGCCCCUAACGACCUUCAGACCGCUCCCAGAUGCAACUCAUGGGUGGUUGCCCUGAUGACGAACUGGGGCUGUGGAGUUGAGUGGCGAUCCGAGAGCAGAGGACCGAGAGAGGCAUUGGUACGACACAACACCGGAGGCGGGUCCAUUGGUGACAUCGCCAAGCAGAGUCUCAGACCAGGCGUGCUCCAGGACAGGGAGCUAUGCGGAUCUGGAUAUCACCAUACAGAGACGUUUAUUUUACUUUGUGGGGAUAUGGUUCUUGUUGGGCCCUAGAAAUCGAGAAUCUAUCCCAACCCUUUCUGUAUGUUGUCUUGUCUGUCUUUCACGCUCCUUAUUUUGUCCCAUACUAGUAGAGUCCUUCAAAGGGGUUGGCAGAGUCGAGCAGGGCCAAGGGUUGGUCCCAUAUUGUAUGCAGCACCAGAGCGACAUUGUAGUGCCUUUCACCAUAUUGUUUGCAGUGCCUUCCAUUAGAAUAACUAUCUUGUUGCAGUGCCAUAUCAGAAUAAUUCAGAUUGCAGUGUGUCCCUUUUGCAUGCCCGCUAUUUACCUGAGAGAGUCAGACGGAGGAUAACCUACCUGAGUGGAGGCUCUAUUGUGUCCAAUCCAUGUUAACCCAUGAAUUUAAAAUGACUUACCUUGAGCAUACUUACCUGUCCUGGUCUUGUGUGUUGGGGUUGUGUGCUGGAGAAUAUUAAAUUAUCAAGUCUACUCCUGCAACUCCCCUCCGGCAUACAAUGUCGCCAGAGUACUAACCACCGGUCCUGGGAAUCAUCAUUACGCACACCUGGUACUCAUCAUUACACACACAUGUGAAUCAUUAUGAUUCAUACCUGGACUCCAUUACCUUCCUAAUUUCCUCAUAUUUGUAUGUCAGUCUCCCAUUUUCACUCACCAGUUGGUAUUGUUCUUGUUUAUCGGCAUACUGCCUUAUGUUAGUGUCGUGUUCUUAGUUUUGUUGUUUGAUUAAAACGUUUCACCUGCACCUGCUUCCGACUCACCGCCCCAUCAUUACAUACAUCCUGUGUUGGGUGGUUGACACUAAACUGUGACAUUUCCUAUCUUAAUUUGACCAGUUUCUCAGAGGAGGAAAAUAAUCCUGCAGCAACAGGUAAUUAUUAUGUGGUUUAUAAUGAAUUGACAAUUUUGUAGGAGUUGAUACAUUUUUCAUUUGGGCAAAUCUAUUUUAAAGUGGAAAAUAUCAACUUUAGAAGCCUUUUUAAAGCUUGAAUAGCCUGCAAGUUUGCAUUUCCUGCUGUGCAAAUUAAGAUAUGACAUCUGUACAUAGGAAGGGAUAAAUGUCUUAUAAAAAUUAUGGCACACUGGUAAACAGUUCCCACCCCACAUCCGAGUGUCGUCCACUGUCUAAACCCUCGGGAUAGAGAAAUUAUAUCCAUGAGCUCAGUGCUUGAAAGGAACUUUAACUAACUUCCUGGUUCAGACACCACAUCACAAAUAGACACACCUCAGGCACUCGAAAUGAAAACAGUUUUUAGACAAAUCGGUGUGAUUGAUGUUUCUUUGGAACUCCUGGGUUUGUGAUGUGGAACUGGCAGUAAACAGAAACCUGAGACAUGGGAUCUGCUGCUGCUCCAUGCACAUAUGCUUCCUGUGCCAGAGGCAACUUAGACUGACAGGGAGUUGUGUUGUCUUCAUUCGGAUUGAACCACCAAAACGUAAUUGUUCACUCAGAAAUGUGACAAAGGUUGCCGCCGAAAAGUGUCUUUGUUUUGACCUCUGUUGCAAAGAAAUAAGCAACUAAAUCUUUCCCUCCUUCUAGUACAUGCCUUUUGAACCUAGCACCCACAUUUAUUUUACUACAAAUAUUUGAGCUGAGCAUGCCAAUUUCUCUUUCUAUCACUGUGACUUGUUCCUCAUACAUGUAAUUUCAGUAAUCUGUAGUUUCUCAUAUUCAAGUAAAAAAUAAAGAUUGAAUUGCU